UACGAAACCCUAUCGUCUUCAACUUCUUACUCUUCCAUCACCGCGGAAACCUUCAACUCCUUACUCUUCCACUUCUUCAUCUUCUUCUCUUACUAACGGAAGAAUAAUACCUCGUUCUUCAUCUUCCACUACGUCGUCGUUUUUUAACCCUAGAGGUCGAUCCACGACUCCGAGUCGAGGUCGGAGUGAGUCAACGAAUUACGGCUCGCGUGGUUAUAGAGAUCGUUCUCCGGUUGCGUUUGGGGCAGAGGAGUUGAUUGUUGACCUUGUCGAUGCGUCUAUAUCAGCGGAUAGCAUUUCCGUCACGAUUCGGUUUCGUCCGUUGAGUGAAAGAGAGUAUAAUAAAGGAGAUGAGAUCGCUUGGUAUGCGGAUGGGGAUAAGAUUGUUAGAAAUGAAUAUAAUCCAGCUACUGCUUAUGCAUUUGGUAUGUUGUGUUCAUGUUUUGAUUGAUUUUGUUGGAGUUUAUUUCUUGUUUAGGCUAAUAGUUUUCAUUAGGAAAGUCAUUAUUAUGGUUCAGUGUAGAAACUUGAAAUUGUGGAUGUUAAUUUAUGAUUCUGAUUUGAUUCUCGACAGAUAGAUUUUUUGGACCACAUACCGUAUCAGAUGUGGUGUAUGAAGUAGCUGUCAAACCUGUGGUGAAGGCUGCCAUGGAAGGUGUCAAUGGUAUGAAAUGCUAAUCUCUGGAGUCGAGGCAAAUUUAGAAUGUGAUGUGUGAGGAGAGUUUGAUUUGAUACUACCAAGUUAUUUUCAUGGAUUGAUCAAUACUUUGAGUUUUAUUUGAUAACUUUAUUAAAAUUGUUAGGGUGACUAGUUUGUUAGAUAUACUGUUCAGUGUUGGAGUGACUAAUGAGUCAGCUGAGUUUUGAAUAUAACUUUUUCCUUUUAUAAAGCUUUUUUGGUUAAUGGAAAGUAACUUUAACUCUAAAUAUUUCAGGAACUGUGUUUGCCUAUGGUGUGACCAGCAAUGGUAAGACACAUACUAUGCAUGUAAGUGUCAUUCUUUAUCUAACUGCUUUUCUUUUUAAUUGUAUGCUUUCAUCUGAUGUUUUGUGCUCAAAGCCAUAGAAUUGUGUGUCACUUUCCAUCAAUCAUCAUAUUGCAAUUUUAUAGCUUGUUAUUUAGAUUAGAGUUUUCUCUGGUAAUAUUGAUGUUUGUUAAAAAGGACUGUCUGUUAGUAAUUUUUUGUUGGUUUUGAUUUUUGAGCACAACAGUGCUUAUUUUACAUGACAGUUUCUUCUUGUAAGUGUUGGCCUUUUAUACUUAUGCUACAUGAUGGCUACUUCUCGUAGUCUCGCUGUUGAUUGAUGUUUUUGUAGCUAUGCCGAGGCUGAUCCAUCUGAAAGGAGUUAUAAAAGGAAAAAGAAGGAAUUUGAACCACCUGAGCGAGUUCAGAAAUGCCGUAAAGCAGAGUAUUCAGCUCCUGCAGUACCAAUGGUUGAUGGAGCUUCUAUCCAAGUUAGAAGUUGGUCGUAUGGGAAGUUAAAGUCGGUUUUUCAGAAUCAAAUAUUCAGAGUUAGAGUUAAUACACGACUUCUUUAUCAGCAAACCAAAUUCAACCUUCUCAGAGAAGAGAGCGAGGGCUAUGCCAAAUUGGCUGCUUUAUUUGAUAAAUGAAGGUAGUGAUUAAUUGGAAUUUGGAAGAGAAAUGCAUAUGAACGUGUGGAUUCGAAGGCUUUCAGUUUGUGCCGAUUCGAAUAUGUCAUGGGCUGGCCGUUCGGUUAACCGAUGGUUGUCAAGUUGUGGUUAUAAGCUUUAGUAUGAGAUUCACAUAUUCUUCGGAGGACCUGACGAUAAUGAAGCGCUUGCUUACGGUAUGAGAAUAGCCGAACAUCCUGACAUUGUGCUAACUGUUGUUAAAUUUGUGUAUCCACCCGGAACAACAUUAUCAUUCGGCGCUAAGUUAGUCGGUGUUGCAUCGGUAGAAUAUAAUAUGUUAGGAAGAAAUUAAAUAGGUUAACAGUUGAUUGUAUAUUAUCAAAGAAUGUAAAUAGGUUAACUGGUGAUUGUAUGUUAUCAUUUCAUCAUUAAUUUUUUUACUG
Molecule: long non-coding RNA, 2040 nt
Organism: Vicia villosa (hairy vetch)
Lineage: Eukaryota; Viridiplantae; Streptophyta; Magnoliopsida; Fabales; Fabaceae
Exons: 5
Source: RefSeq, a predicted model, not a curated record